This 248-nucleotide unclassified non-coding RNA is filed under the name Apodus deciduus. RNAcentral describes it as "sequence contains 5.8S rRNA gene". The stretch from base 1 to 53 matches the Rfam family "5.8S ribosomal RNA", at positions 102 to 154 of the family's 154-position model. Lineage: Eukaryota; Fungi; Ascomycota; Sordariomycetes; Sordariales; Lasiosphaeriaceae. The record is from RNAcentral.
GAACGCACAUUGCGCCCGCUAGUAUUCUGGCGGGCAUGCCUGUUCGAGCGUCAUUUCAACCAUCAAGCCCUAGGCUUGUGUUGGGGCCCUGCGGCCGUCCGCAGCCCCCUAAAAACAGUGGCGGGCUCGCUAUAUACCGAGUGCAGUAGUUUACUCUUCGCUCAGGACAUGUAGUGGGUUCUUGCCGUAAAACCCCCCAUUUUUUAAGGUUGACCUCGGAUCAGGUAGGGAUACCCGCUGAACUUAAG